Hypanus sabinus (Atlantic stingray) is the source of this 1003-nucleotide long non-coding RNA. RefSeq lists it as uncharacterized. The transcript has 4 exons. The record is from RefSeq and is a predicted model, not a curated record. Lineage: Eukaryota; Metazoa; Chordata; Chondrichthyes; Myliobatiformes; Dasyatidae.
UUAAGUUUCUUCAGUAUCCUUCUACUUGGGCAAUCCAAUGCCUUUCUAGCGAAGGAAGUGGCAAAGUUAGUUAGCCAGUGGUACUUGACAGUGAUGUAUGGAAAAGAACAACCUUACCCCACUGAUUCUGACACCUUCUGGGAAAAUAUCAACAAUCAGACAUUGGCUACUGCGAAUGCUGACUUACUCACUUACAGCCUGUUACGCUGCUGGGGUUUAGGGCAGCAGUGAAGGUCCUCCACCUCUGGUGGUGUUCAGGUCUUCCUUCAGUAUCAAUCAACACAGUUGAAGGAUCCUGCUGCCAGCUGCAUUUGCUAUGUGUCUACCUUUGGAAUGUGGGAAGAAAACAGAACACCUGGGAGAAACUCACGCGGUCAUGAGGAGAGCAUACGUACUUCUUACAGACAGAGGCUCCCACAACCAGAGGAGAAAAACACCCAACAAUAGGACCGUGGUCAGCCGUCAGACCUGCAAUAGGAGGAUGAGUGUGCUGCUUCCCGCUCCUUGUUAUCAUCCAUAACAAAGUAAUUCUUCACCCCGCAACUGACUCCAUGCUUCUGGGGCUGACGAAGCAUGCCUACAACUUACUAAUCCUUACGUCUUUGAAACUGCGGCACCCAGAGGAAGCCCAUGUGGUCAUGGGAAGAAUGUACAAACUCCUUAAAGACAACAUUGGAAUUUAUACCAUGAUUACUAGUGCUGUAAAGCAUUUUGCUAACCACAAUACUGCCAUGCCGCACUAGGACACCCCAUAGCUCCUAUAAUGCCCGAUGCUCAUACUUGUUUCUUGAUGUAAAAUAUGGUGAAUUGAAUUGGUUAAAGGUUGGUGUCUGCAAUGAUUCAUCUUGGUUUUACAAGAAGAGACCAAGAUGAAUUACUCACUUGGAAAUUCUGGCUGUUCAUCAUUAAAGACUGCAAAAAUACAUAAUUCUGUAUUUCCAUAGUAGAUAAAAACAGAAGCUUUUCAGUUGUGUAAAAAGGAUGGGAUAAGUAUAAGCUAUGA